Molecule: long non-coding RNA, 1258 nt
Organism: Mercenaria mercenaria
Lineage: Eukaryota; Metazoa; Mollusca; Bivalvia; Venerida; Veneridae
Exons: 3
Source: RefSeq, a predicted model, not a curated record
UCGAGUCGAUAUCUUUUUCAAUAUAUACCCUGCAUUCAAACUAUACAGCUGCGUACAUAUGCGUACAAAAAGCGUCUAACAAACCAGUAUUGGGGUUAAUGAAUACACUGUUUUGUUUUUCGAAUCAUCGAUUAAAGUUAAGUUAACCCAAACGGUUUAUUGAUUUGAACAAUGAUUUAUUGUUAAUGUGACAAUCACUUAUUUGGAAUGAAAUAUUUGUAUGAUUAUAUGUAGUCUUUAACUUUACAGCUUUAAAUUUAACUGUUAGACGGUUUCUAUUACAAUUUUGAAGGAAAAAAAAUGUAGUCAUAACUGUGUAUUUUGUUUUCAGUAAUUGCGUACCUGGAGAAUUACCUUGAACAAUUAUCGACUUAAACAUUAUACUUGCGGUUUCAACUCAAAAGAAAAGUCAUGUUGGAAAAAGUUCGAGGAGGUGGACUUUAUCAACUACAGAUUCAAAAACGAAACCUAAACGAACCGUAACAUCGGACAGUAUUGACUACAGUUUGAAUUACAAGACAGAAAAAAGCAACAAAUUGCAGACGUCCAACAUUCUUCCUGCUCACAUGCUUACAUCUUGUGGCGUCGGAUAAAUAGCCAGUAGCCAAGUAUUGAUGCAGCCGUAGUGGAAUAACUGGGAAACUCAUUAUUUUAUCUUUGAAGGAAAAUGUGACCUUCGGUAUUGUUCAAGGACAGUUUCUAGAGGAUGAAAUAAAGGACUCGUGGUAAUACUAUACAGACCACCAUUUAGAUGAAUGCCAAGACAGCAGUAACAUCGGUCAAAUAAAUAAAACGUUGAGGAAUUCCAUAGGUGCUGUUUAACAUGUCAUUCUAAUGAUGUAACAAUUUUCAUGGAUCAUGGGAAAUGAAUAUUCUAUUCAGAAGGACAGUGCAGGUUGUUGUAAUGCUAAAAAAACUGCUUGUUAGAUUGUCAUCGUUGGACUUCAUUACUAACGUCAAUCUUUUCACGCAUUUGAGACUGAACACUUAAUGUUUUCCAGUGAGAAACGUACACUAAUACUAUGGAGAAAAAAAGGAUGAAAAACGUUUUUCACAUGAUCUAUAAUUUCAGUGUUGCAUUAAUUAUUUCCGAAUUGGAAACAUUCAAGAAGUAACAUUGCAGACUUGAUGUUUAUACGCGGUUCUUUUUAUUCUCGUGCCACUUUACAUAUUCGAAGUUUAUAAAGGUCCAUUUGAUUUCAAUAUAAUGUUUGUGAUUGAAUUGUGUAUUAAACUUCAAAUAAACUUCAUAGUUGCA